UUUCCCCUUUUUCUCUCCUCAAACAUCUAACCGCCUCUCACUUUCUCUCCCCACUCUUUUUUUUGUGGUUUUUUUUUUUUGGGUUCCCGGGGAAAAUUUUUUGGACUGACGCAGUGCUCAGGUUUUGGACGUUGCGUCGGAAAGUUUCAUGAACCUUAUCACUUAGAGGAAGGAGAAGUCGUAACAAGGUUUCCGUAGGUGAACCUGCGGAAGGAUCAUUC
RNAcentral lists this ribosomal RNA (221 nucleotides) under Symbiodinium sp. ex Goniastrea aspera. RNAcentral's name for it is "partial 18S ribosomal RNA". It matches the Rfam family "Eukaryotic small subunit ribosomal RNA", at positions 1726 to 1831 of the family's 1831-position model. The record is from RNAcentral. Lineage: Eukaryota; Dinophyceae; Suessiales; Symbiodiniaceae.